RNAcentral lists this small RNA (71 nucleotides) under uncultured Flavobacterium sp. RNAcentral's name for it is "Flavo-1 RNA". It matches the Rfam family "Flavo-1 RNA". The record is from RNAcentral. Lineage: Bacteria; Pseudomonadati; Bacteroidota; Flavobacteriia; Flavobacteriales; Flavobacteriaceae.
CUAGCCCCGAUAGAAGCGAUAUCCUUUUAUGGUGGGGUUCACCAUAAAAGAUAAAGCGGAUAGCGGGAUUA